RNAcentral lists this ribosomal RNA (450 nucleotides) under uncultured bacterium. RNAcentral describes it as "bacterial SSU rRNA". It matches the Rfam family "Bacterial small subunit ribosomal RNA", at positions 354 to 796 of the family's 1533-position model. The record is from RNAcentral.
GUGGGGAAUAUUGGACAAUGGGCGAAAGCCUGAUCCAGCCAUGCCGCGUGUGUGAAGAAGGUCUUCGGAUUGUAAAGCACUUUAAGUUGGGAGGAAGGGCAGUAAGUUAAUACCUUGCUGUUUUGACGUUACCGACAGAAUAAGCACCGGCUAACUUCGUGCCAGCAGCCGCGGUAAUACGAAGGGUGCAAGCGUUAAUCGGAAUUACUGGGCGUAAAGCGCGCGUAGGUGGUUUUGUAAGUUGGAGGUGAAAUCCCCGGGCUCAACCUGGGAACUGCCUCCAAAACUGCAUGACUAGAGUACGGUAGAGGGUAGUGGAAUGUCCUGUGUAGCGGUGAAAUGCGUAGAUAUAGGAAGGAACACCAGUGGCGAAGGCGACUACCUGGACUGAUACUGACACUGAGGUGCGAAAGCGUGGGGAGCAAACAGGAUUAGAAACCCCUGUAGUCC